This 389-nucleotide ribosomal RNA is filed under the name Picozoa sp. RNAcentral describes it as "partial small subunit ribosomal RNA". It matches the Rfam family "Eukaryotic small subunit ribosomal RNA", at positions 582 to 975 of the family's 1831-position model. The record is from RNAcentral. Lineage: Eukaryota; Picozoa.
AUUCCAGCCCCAAUAGCGUAUAUUAAAGUUGUUGCAGUUAAAAAGCUCGUAGUCGGAUUUUGGCAUCACGCCGAACUGUCUGCCGAUUGGUAAGUACGGUUUGGCGGGUGCUUCCUUCCGGAGGCUCGUUCCCUUCUUCAUUGAAGGGUUCGUUGGUUCCGGGUCUUUUACUUUGAGAAAAUUAGAGUGUUCAAAGCAGGCUCGCGCUGUGAAUACAUUAGCAUGGAAUAAUAAUUUAGGACUUGGUAUCCUAUUUUGUUGGUUUGCAUUCCAAGGUAAUGAUUAAUAGGGAUAGUUGGGGGUAUUCGUAUUCAAUUGUCAGAGGUGAAAUUCUUGGAUUUAUGGAAGACGAACUACUGCGAAAGCAUUUACCAAGGAUGUUUUCAUUA